RNAcentral lists this ribosomal RNA (496 nucleotides) under uncultured bacterium. RNAcentral describes it as "partial 16S ribosomal RNA". It matches the Rfam family "Bacterial small subunit ribosomal RNA", at positions 29 to 507 of the family's 1533-position model. The record is from RNAcentral.
AUGAACGCUGGCGGCGUGCCUAAUACAUGCAAGUCGAGCGAACGGACGAGAGGCUUGCUUCUCUGAUGUUAGCGGCGGACGGGUGAGUAACACGUGGAUAACCUACCUAUAAGACUGGGAUAACUUCGGGAAACCGUAGCUAAUACCGGAUAAUAUUUUGAACCGCAUGGUUCAAAAGUGAAAGACGGUCUUGCUGUCACUUAUAGAUGGAUCCGCGCUGCAUUAGCUAGUUGGUAAGGUAACGGCUUACCAAGGCAACGAUGCAUAGCCGACCUGAGAGGGUGAUCGGCCACACUGGAACUGAGACACGGUCCAGACUCCUACGGGAGGCAGCAGUAGGGAAUCUUCCGCAAUGGGCGAAAGCCUGACGGAGCAACGCCGCGUGAGUGAUGAAGGUCUUCGGAUCGUAAAACUCUGUUAUUAGGGAAGAACAUAUGUGUAAGUAACUGUGCACAUCUUGACGGUACCUAAUCAGAAAGCCACGGCUAACUACGUG